UCAUCUCAACUCAAUAGCUUUGCGGCUACUCGAGUUGGAUUUGGGAGUCUGCUGGCCUCUAGAGGUCGGCUCUCCUUGAAUGCAUGAGUGAGCAUCUGGCUCGCGUCGCUGAUGUGAUAAUCUUCAUCAUUGGAGGCGCUUGUCUAAUGGGCUUGCUUUCGAACCGUCUUCUCAACGGAGACAAUCAUUGACCA
RNAcentral lists this unclassified non-coding RNA (194 nucleotides) under uncultured Tomentella. RNAcentral's name for it is "sequence contains ITS2". Lineage: Eukaryota; Fungi; Basidiomycota; Agaricomycetes; Thelephorales; Thelephoraceae. The record is from RNAcentral.